This 497-nucleotide ribosomal RNA is filed under the name uncultured bacterium. RNAcentral's name for it is "partial 16S ribosomal RNA". It matches the Rfam family "Bacterial small subunit ribosomal RNA", at positions 28 to 507 of the family's 1533-position model. The record is from RNAcentral.
GAUGAACGCUGGCGGCGUGCCUAAUACAUGCAAGUCGAGCGAACAGACGAGGAGCUUGCUCCUCUGACGUUAGCGGCGGACGGGUGAGUAACACGUGGAUAACCUACCUAUAAGACUGAGAUAACUUCGGGAAACCGGAGCUAAUACCGGAUAAUAUAUUGAACCGCAUGGUUCAAUAGUGAAAGACGGUUUUGCUGUCACUUAUAGAUGGAUCCGCGCCGCAUUAGCUAGUUGGUAAGGUAACGGCUUACCAAGGCAACGAUGCGUAGCCGACCUGAGAGGGUGAUCGGCCACACUGGAACUGAGACACGGUCCAGACUCCUACGGGAGGCAGCAGUAGGGAAUCUUCCGCAAUGGGCGAAAGCCUGACGGAGCAACGCCGCGUGAGUGAUGAAGGUCUUCGGAUCGUAAAACUCUGUUAUUAGGAAAGAACAAAUGUGUAAGUAACUAUGCACGUCUUGACGGUACCUAAUCAGAAAGCCACGGCUAACUACGUG